This 591-nucleotide ribosomal RNA is filed under the name Stilbella byssiseda. Its description in RNAcentral is "eukaryotic LSU rRNA". It matches the Rfam family "Eukaryotic large subunit ribosomal RNA", at positions 1 to 606 of the family's 3401-position model. Lineage: Eukaryota; Fungi; Ascomycota; Sordariomycetes; Hypocreales. The record is from RNAcentral.
UUGACCUCAGAUCAGGUAGGAAUACCCGCUGAACUUAAGCAUAUCAAUAAGCGGAGGAAAAGAAACCAACAGGGAUUGCCCCAGUAACGGCGAGUGAAGCGGCAACAGCUCAAAUUUGAAAUCUGGCCCCAGGCCCGAGUUGUAAUUUGUAGAGGAUGUUUCUGGCGAGGUGCCUUCCGAGUUCCCUGGAACGGGACGCCAUAGAGGGUGAGAGCCCCGUACGGUUGGUUGCCGAGCCUCUGUGAAACUCCUUCGACGAGUCGAGUAGUUUGGGAAUGCUGCUCUAAAUGGGAGGUAUACGUCUUCUAAAGCUAAAUAUAGGCCAGAGACCGAUAGCGCACAAGUAGAGUGAUCGAAAGAUGAAAAGCACUUUGAAAAGAGGGUUAAAAAGUACGUGAAAUUGUUGAAAGGGAAGCGCUCAUGACCAGACUUGGGCAGGUUAAUCAUCCGCCGUUCUCGGUGGUGCACUUUGCCUGUCCAGGCCAGCAUCAGUUUGCUCCGGGGGAUAAAGGCUUCGGGAAUGUGGCUCCCUCGGGAGUGUUAUAGCCCGCUGCGUAAUACCCUGGAGCGGACUGAGGUUCGCGCAUCUGC